RNAcentral lists this long non-coding RNA (2894 nucleotides) under Triticum aestivum (bread wheat). RNAcentral's name for it is "long non-coding RNA (TAES_LNC013163)". The record is from RNAcentral. Lineage: Eukaryota; Viridiplantae; Streptophyta; Magnoliopsida; Poales; Poaceae.
UUACAGCUUGAUGAAAUUGAGUGAUGAUAGUAUCACCAAGGCGUCAUGAAAGACAAAAAAAUGUACAUGUCUUACUGCUCGUUUACAAAACUGCUUCAACUGUUUUCGGACAUUGUUUACAGCUGAAGGUCUUGGAAGAAACUAUCACUAGACCAACAAGAGAAAAAAGAUAGCUCUAUCGAUAAGGAAACAUUUUUCCCAUGGAAGUAUUCCUUUGAGUUGAAUCUUGCAGUGCAACUUCCUUUGAAGGUGACGGUAUUAAUGAGACCCUUGAGAAUACAAAGAAGAAAUAUGUUAAUUGGAAAUGUAGGUGCAAAACAUUUCAUCAUUCAGAUUCUUUUGGGUGAACCCUGUACACUAACUAAUAGGAAUAAUCAUACCCUUGAGAAUAGAAAGAAGAAACAUGUUAAUUGGGAAUACAGGUGCAAAACAUUUGAUCAAUGGGUUUCUUAGGGUGAACCUUGUUACACUAACUAACAGGAACUGCUAAUUUCAGAAGUUACCUAAGGUGACUACAUAUGCAGAAUGAGUAAAGAUUGGCCUUCAAAGCUUCACUUGAAUAUGUGGAAACCCUGCUGAAACAUAUACAUGUUCGGUAUGAAAGAACAUGCUCUAAGAAAAUAACAUCUCUUUUCUGUCCUUGGGAGACAAAUAAAUAGAGAACUUACAUGUCUCUGCAGGAAAGAAGUUACUAACGGCAGCUGAAUUUCAUUGUCCUUGCAAGUUACAAUCUCAAAAAGGAAUUUUGACGUAGAGCUUGUAAAUCAUCCUACAGUAUUUUAGAAAAAGUGCAGUUUAAUUCCUGAUAUGUUCCAAUUAAUGACCAAAAAGGAAAAAUAUGUCUAUCGCUUACAUUAGAGAACCCCUCCAAUCCGAGACCUUUGUACUUCUAACAUACUGAAGAAGGAAAAUUCCUGAGUCAUACCUGUGAAAAAAAUAAUAGCACAAUCAGUUCCAUACUCAAGAUGGAAAUUAUUGUGAAUUUAAAAUAAUUUUAAUCUGUUUUUAGGAGAAAUAACCAAAAUGUUGGUGGUGGCUGGUACAAAUCUUGUAAAAGGGGAGAUUUCCAUGGAAAACCCACCUGAAAUUGACCUUGGGAGCUGGUACAAAUCUUGAUUCAAAAUUUCCUAUGUUGAAAGAACUAGAAUUUUCGAAUGUGGCAGCAAACAAAACCUUGAAGUUUGCUGCUUAAUGUUGUAUAUAAAUUUCCAUGGAAGAAAUAUUUACUAGAUUCUCAAUAAAAAAUUGUUCCUUGAAUAAUGUUCAUUGGAUAAUUUUCUCAAAUAAAAAAUAAAAUAAAAUGUUCUUCAAAUAAAAAAAUGUUCUCUGAAGUAUUAAAAUGUUCUUCAAGUCAAAUAAAUAUUUCCUCGGCAUCAACAAUUAAUGCUACUUGAAAAAAUGUUCCUUGAAUAGUGUUCUGUAAAAUAAUGAUAACUGCAUAAUGUUCCCUGGAUAACGUUCGUUGCAAAAUGUUCCUGGGUGCCAAAAGAAAUUAGUUGAAUAAUGUUCUUCGAAGCUUGAAUAAAUAAUUGUUCCAUUAAUAAUGUUCCCUCAAUAAAAAUUUGCUUAGCGCUUACAAAAUAGUUCAAACAUUGUUGAGGGAACAACAAAAAUUAGAUUAUUAAGGGAAUAUCGUUCUAUCAACAAUUCUUAGGGAAUAUUGAUGAGGGAACAUUAUUUGGAGAACAUUAUUCAGGGAACAUUAUUGGGGGGACAAAAAAAAUAAACAUUUAAUUGGAGACCAUUAUUAAAGGGACAUUCUUCAAAGAACAUUAUAGGGGAACAAAAGAAAUUGAACAUUUAUUUGGGGAACAUUAUUAAAGGUACAUUAAUGAGGGAACAUUCUUCAAGGAAUUUUUUUACUACAUUCUGAAUAUAAUAAUGUUCUAAAAAAACACUAAAUUGUUCCCUAAUAAAUAAUGUUCUCUGAAGUUUAAAAAUGUUCUUCAAGUCAAAUAAUUUUUCCUCGGCAUCAACAAUUAUUUGGGGAACAUUUUGGAGAACAAUAUUAAAGAAACAUUAUCUAGGGAACAUUAUUGGGGGAACAAAAAAGUUGAACAAUAUUUAGGGAACAUAUUAAAGGAACAUUAAUCAGUGAAAAAUUGUAGGGGAACUAUAAUUCCCUGGUUAAUAAAAAAUGAACAUUUAACUGGGGAACAUUAUUAAAGGAACAUUAUUGGGGGGGGGGACAAGUAUUGCUCUGAUGAUAAUUGAAUAAUGUUCCUUGGGGUGAACAAUUUUUUGUUGUUGCUUGAAUAAUGUUCCCUCAAUAAUGUUCUAAAAAACACUAAAUUGUUCCCUAAUAAAUAAUGUUCUAUGAAGUUUAAAAAUGUUCUUCAAGUCAAAUAUUUUUUCCUCGGCAUCAACAAAAAGUAUCAACCUAAUAUGUGUACAUCUUGCAAGUUUCAUCUUGUAUUACUAGGUUAACAUCCUAUAUCAAAAACUAUAGUCACAUCACCUACUAUCUCUACUCUUAUAAAAAACAGAGUUGGUGUUGAUGGUGUGCCUGCCAUCCUGCAAUAUAGGCCAUCCGAUUUAUAUCUGACGGAUAGGAAGGAAACUAUGGCAAUUUUGCAAAAAGAUACCCACACCCCUCUCCACAUUUGCAAAUAAAUCCUUCCCUCGUUCAUCCUUUUCUCUCACAAGAUAAACUACUCACAUAAAUGCAUCUUGAUGUUUCGUGCAACGCAUGGGCAUAACGGACACUGGCCUACAGUGCACAGAUAUAUACAUGGAAAAAAAUCAAUGGACCAUGAGCUCAGACCAAGAGCUCACCACGGCUGUUUUGAAAUAGGAUGUCGAACAAGCAGUGGGGCCGUCGAAUGGAAGUGCCUAGCACCGCGUGCCUUGAUGAGCCCCUUGUCCUCUCUCUGCUGUACCGAUGGAAUACUUCU